This 253-nucleotide ribosomal RNA is filed under the name uncultured bacterium. Its description in RNAcentral is "partial 16S ribosomal RNA". It matches the Rfam family "Bacterial small subunit ribosomal RNA", at positions 524 to 776 of the family's 1533-position model. The record is from RNAcentral.
GACGAACCGUGCGAACGUUGUUCGGAAUCACUGGGCUUAAAGGGCGCGUAGGCGGCCCGCCGCGUCCGGGGUGAAAUCCUCCCGCUCAACGGGAGAACGGCCUGGGAUACGGGCGGGCUGGAGGGGGGUAGGGGCAGGCGGAACUGUGGGUGGAGCGGUGAAAUGCGUUGAGAUCCACAGGAACUCCGGUGGCGAAGGCGGCCUGCUGGACCCCAUCUGACGCUGAGGCGCGAAAGCCAGGGGAGCGAACGGG